Molecule: ribosomal RNA, 348 nt
Filed under: uncultured bacterium
Lineage: Bacteria
Description: bacterial SSU rRNA
Rfam family: Bacterial small subunit ribosomal RNA
Source: RNAcentral
AGAGUUUGAUCCUGGCUCAGGAUGAACGCUAGCUACAGGCUUAACACAUGCAAGUCGAGGGGCAGCAUGUUGGUUGCUUGCAACCAACGAUGGCGACCGGCGCACGGGUGAGUAACGCGUAUCCAACCUGCCCACCACUUGGGGAUAACCUUGCGAAAGUAAGACUAAUACCCAAUGACGUCUCUAGAAGACAUCUGAAGGAGAUUAAAGAUUUAUCGGUGAUGGAUGGGGAUGCGUCUGAUUGGCUUGUUGGCGGGGUAACGGCCACCAAGGCGACGAUCAGUAGGGUUCUGAGAGGAAGGUCCCCCANAUUGGAACUGAGACACGGUCCAAACUCCUACGGGAGCA